UACGGAGGGUGCGAGCGUUGUCCGGAAUCACUGGGCGUAAAGGGCGCGUAGGCGGCUUGGGAAGUCUGUGGUGAAAGCUCGUGGCUCAACUGCGAGUCGGCCAUAGAUACUCCUAAGCUCGAGUCGACUAGAGGCAGAUGGAAUUCCGGGUGUAGCGGUGGAAUGCGUAGAGAUCCGGAAGAACACCGGUGGCGAAGGCGGUCUGCUGGGCAGUUGCUGACACUGAGGCGCGACGAGCGUGGGGAGCAAACAGG
RNAcentral lists this ribosomal RNA (254 nucleotides) under uncultured bacterium. Its description in RNAcentral is "partial 16S ribosomal RNA". It matches the Rfam family "Bacterial small subunit ribosomal RNA", at positions 524 to 776 of the family's 1533-position model. The record is from RNAcentral.